Molecule: unclassified non-coding RNA, 210 nt
Filed under: Hevea brasiliensis (rubber tree)
Lineage: Eukaryota; Viridiplantae; Streptophyta; Magnoliopsida; Malpighiales; Euphorbiaceae
Source: RNAcentral
CACACCUUAGCUCCUGUAAAGUGGAAUUAAGAUACCCUUAAGAUCCUCAAACUAAAGAGCGUGAACUCCAAUCAUGCUCACAUGGCGAUUUGUUAACUAGGAUCCAAAAGAUAUCUUAAUUCCACUAUACAGCAGUUGGAGUGUGUUAUGGAACAUUUACAAGAGUUGAGAUACGUCGUGGGAUGUUUGAAAAGUUCAGGGUACCACAAG